CUCUAGAUCAGGCAAUGAUUUAGGGCAAAAGGAG
The submitters of this non-coding RNA (34 nucleotides) gave its source as unclassified sequences. The record is from Rfam.